Molecule: unclassified non-coding RNA, 241 nt
Filed under: fungal sp.
Lineage: Eukaryota; Fungi
Description: partial internal transcribed spacer region
Rfam family: Eukaryotic small subunit ribosomal RNA (bases 1-46)
Source: RNAcentral
AAGUCGUAACAAGGUUUCCGUAGGUGAACCUGCGGAAGGAUCAUUAAUGAAUGUUGAACUGGGUUGUAGCUGGUCUUUAGAGACAUGUGCACACCCUUCAAUUUCAUCCAUCCCUGUGCACUUCUGUAGAUGGUGUUUCAAUGCCAUCUAUGAUUUUACACACACUUAUAAACCAUGAAUGUGAACUAGAUCCUUAGGAUCAAUACUUGUACAACUUUUAGCAAUGGAUCUCUUGGCUCUC